UAGAGCAAGAUAUGAUACUCAACAACCCAUCAACUUGAAUGCGGCGAAAUACGAGGCGCAAAAUCCCUUAACUUGUCGCGCAUCAUUGUGGCGUUACGCGUUGUGCAUCGAAGAUGCUCGUUUUUCACCCCGCGCCACAACUUGUCACACCAAUGCGGGUUCUGCCCGGUCAUUUGGUGAUUCAUAGUAACUGUUCGAAUCGCAGGGCCUCGCGCCGGCGAUGUUUCAUUCAAAUUUCUGCCCUAUCAACUGUCGAUGGUAAGGUGGUGGCUUACCAUGGUUACAACGGGUGACGGAGAAUUAG
RNAcentral lists this non-coding RNA (304 nucleotides) under Nematostella vectensis (starlet sea anemone). RNAcentral describes it as "Eukaryotic small subunit ribosomal RNA". It matches the Rfam family "Eukaryotic small subunit ribosomal RNA", at positions 102 to 373 of the family's 1831-position model. Lineage: Eukaryota; Metazoa; Cnidaria; Anthozoa; Actiniaria; Edwardsiidae. The record is from Rfam by way of RNAcentral.